This 823-nucleotide ribosomal RNA is filed under the name uncultured beta proteobacterium. RNAcentral's name for it is "bacterial SSU rRNA". It matches the Rfam family "Bacterial small subunit ribosomal RNA", at positions 38 to 857 of the family's 1533-position model. The record is from RNAcentral. Lineage: Bacteria; Pseudomonadati; Pseudomonadota; Betaproteobacteria.
GGCGGCAUGCCUUACACAUGCAAGUCGAACGGCAGCACGGGAGCAAUCCUGGUGGCGAGUGGCGAACGGGUGAGUAAUAUAUCGGAACGUGCCCAGUAGUGGGGGAUAGCCCGGCGAAAGCCGGAUUAAUACCGCAUACGACCUACGGGUGAAAGCGGGGGAUCGCAAGACCUCGCGCUAUUGGAGCGGCCGAUAUCAGAUUAGCUAGUUGGUGGGGUAAAAGCCUACCAAGGCGACGAUCUGUAGCUGGUCUGAGAGGACGACCAGCCACACUAGGACUGAGACACGGCCCAGACUCCUACGGGAGGCAGCAGUGGGGAAUUUUGGACAAUGGGCGCAAGCCUGAUCCAGCCAUGCCGCGUGUGGGAAGAAGGCCUUCGGGUUGUAAACCACUUUUGUCAGGGAAGAAACGGCUCUUACUAAUAUUAGGAGCUAAUGACGGUACCUGAAGAAUAAGCACCGGCUAACUACGUGCCAGCAGCCGCGGUAAUACGUAGGGUGCAAGCGCUAAUCGGAAUUACUGGGCGUAAAGCGUGCGCAGGCGGCUAUGCAAGACAGAUGUGAAAUCCCCGGGCUCAACCUGGGAACUGCAUUUGUGACUGCAUGGCUAGAGUACGGUAGAGGGGGAUGGAAUUCCGCGUGUAGCAGUGAAAUGCGUAGAUAUGCGGAGGAACACCGAUGGCGAAGGCAAUCCCCUGGACCUGUACUGACGCUCAUGCACGAAAGCGUGGGGAGCAAACAGGAUUAGAUACCCUGGUAGUCCACGCCCUAAACGAUGUCAACUGGUUGUUGGACGGCUUGCUGUUCAGUAACGAAGCUAACG